RNAcentral lists this ribosomal RNA (213 nucleotides) under uncultured bacterium. RNAcentral's name for it is "partial 16S ribosomal RNA". It matches the Rfam family "Bacterial small subunit ribosomal RNA", at positions 524 to 734 of the family's 1533-position model. The record is from RNAcentral.
UACGUAGGGUGCAAGCGUUAAUCGGAAUUACUGGGCGUAAAGCGUGCGCAGGCGGUUUUGUAAGUUUGUCGUGAAAGCCCCGGGCUCAACCUGGGAAUUGCGAUGAAGACUGCAAGGCUUGAAUCUGGCAGAGGGGGGUAGAAGUUCCACGUGUAGCAGUGAAAUGCGUAGAGAUGUGGAGGAACACCGAUGGCGAAGGGCAGCCCCCUGGGU